This 577-nucleotide ribosomal RNA is filed under the name uncultured bacterium. Its description in RNAcentral is "partial 16S ribosomal RNA". It matches the Rfam family "Bacterial small subunit ribosomal RNA", at positions 355 to 926 of the family's 1533-position model. The record is from RNAcentral.
UGGGGAAUAUUGGACAAUGGGCGCAAGCCUGAUCCAGCAAUGCCGCGUGUGUGAAGAAGGCCUUCGGGUUGUAAACACUUUUUAUCAGGAGCGAAACGCUGUCGGCUAAUACCCGGCGGAACUGACGGUACCUGAGGAAUAAGCACCGGCUAACUUCNUGCCAGCAGCCGCGGUAAUACGAAGGGUGCAAGCGUUAAUCGGAAUUACUGGGCGUAAAGCGUCGUNGGCGGUUUCUUAAGUCUGCUGUGAAAUCCCCGGGCUCAACCUGGGAAUGGCAGUGGAUACUGGGAGGCUAGAGUGUGUCAGAGGGUGGUGGAAUUCCCGGUGUAGCGGUGAAAUGCGUAGAGAUCGGGAGGAACAUCAGUGGCGAAGGCGGCCACCUGGGGACAACACUGACGCUGAGGCACGAAAANCGUGGGGAGCAAACAGGAUUAGAUACCCUGGUAGUCCACGCCCUAAACGAUGCGAACUGGAUNUGGUCUCAACUCGGAGAUCAGUGUGAAGCUAACGCGUUAAGUUCGCCGCCUGGGGAGUACGUCGCAAGACUGAAACUAAAGGAAUUGACGGGGUCAUAGCU